CUUCACAGCAGAGGACGUUAACCCUGAAGAUACCUGAUGAGACAUGCUGUUGGUGUACGGAUGAAACACGAACCUUAAGGCGUUUAUAUUGUAAAGACCCUACAAUAAUACAGAGGAAACAGAAAACCCCAGCAGUCAUAUGAACCCCUAUAAGCAAAUGGUGACAAUGGGAAGAAAAAACCUCCAGCAGAACCAGCGACCAACUGGGGCUGCACGCUCACUGCAGGAUUCAUCUCAGAGCUCCAGGGUGAAAUUAAAAGAAGAAGACACGAGUUUGUCAGACAUCUGAAUGACUGUGUUUUAUGCUGCGGAGCUGGAGGAGCUUCGACCUCAGCUCGGGUUUGUUCAAAGACAUGAAAUCAUAAAAAAUGGAUCACAGGAUCAAAUGCUGAAUAAUCCUGUGACUGUCCCCGCUGCUGCGUGAAGAAAGGACGACUGUGUUUCAAUAUUAAUGUCUGUGUGUUGUUUGUCUGCGACAGCCGCUGAGCGACGGCGAAUCUGUCAGCAGCUGCGUCUCACCCUCGCGAGUUAUCUGCACGCUAAUGGGUUCAGUCAAC
Oreochromis aureus is the source of this 557-nucleotide long non-coding RNA. NCBI's taxonomy places the organism in Eukaryota, Metazoa, Chordata, Actinopteri, Cichliformes, Cichlidae. The record is from Ensembl.